AGACUCUGUGCGCGUGCAUAUCAAUAAGCGGAGGAAAAGAAACUAACAAGGAUUCCCUUAGUAACGGCGAGUGAAGCGGGAAGAGCUCAAAUUUGAAAUCUUCAAGGUUCUACCUUGACGAAUUGUAGUUUAUAAGAAGUGUUUUCUGUUAGUGGAGUUGGCUAAAAGUUCUUUGGAAUAGGACAUCAUAGAGGGUGAGAAUCCCGUAUUUGGUCAUUCUCUCUAGCUUUGUGAUACACUUUCAACGAGUCGGAUUGUUUGGGAAUGCAGUCCAAAAUGGGUGGUAAAUUUCAUCUAAAGCUAAGUAUUGGCGAGAGACCGAUAGCGAACAAGUACCGUGAGGGAAAGAUGAAAAGAACUUUGAAAAGAGAGUUAAACAGUACGUGAAAUUGUCAAAAGGGAAGCGUUUGACACCAGUGUUGUUUUUCCGAAAAUCAAUUACGAAUGUUUUGUUUUUGAGGAGUUAUGACUUCAUCGGCUUGCUCCUUUCUUUACGAAACUUUCUUAAUGCACUUUUCGGUUAACAAGUCAACAUCAAUUUCUUUUGUUGUAAAAGGGUAUGAGGAAGGUGGCUUUCUUUUCGGAGAAAGUGUUUAUAGCCUUGUGCCUCUACAAUCGGAGAGAUUGAGGUCUGCAGCGUAGAUCCUUCGGGGUUAGAUACGUUUGUGCUAAGUUAUAGCUUUUCAUAGACAACUUGUUGACUAUGUUUAGUCUUGUAGCCUACUCGCUGACGCUAUUUUACCUACGCUUAGGAUGUUGAUCUGUAGUGCGUGCGC
RNAcentral lists this ribosomal RNA (776 nucleotides) under uncultured Neocallimastigales. RNAcentral describes it as "partial large subunit ribosomal RNA". It matches the Rfam family "Eukaryotic large subunit ribosomal RNA", at positions 23 to 647 of the family's 3401-position model. The record is from RNAcentral. Lineage: Eukaryota; Fungi; Neocallimastigomycota; Neocallimastigomycetes; Neocallimastigales.